This 252-nucleotide ribosomal RNA is filed under the name uncultured bacterium. RNAcentral's name for it is "partial 16S ribosomal RNA". It matches the Rfam family "Bacterial small subunit ribosomal RNA", at positions 524 to 776 of the family's 1533-position model. The record is from RNAcentral.
UACGAAGGGGGCUAGCGUUGCUCGGAAUUACUGGGCGUAAAGCGCACGUAGGCGGCUUUCUAAGUCGGGGGUGAAAUCCUGGAGCUCAACCCCAGAACUGCCUUCGAUACUGGAGCUUGAGUCCGGGAGAGGUGAGUGGAACUGCGAGUGUAGAGGUGAAAGUUCAUAGAUAUUCGCAAGAACACCAGUGGCGAAGGCGGCUCACUGGCCCGGUACUGACGCUGAGGUGCGAAAGCGUGGGGAGCAAACAGG